This 349-nucleotide unclassified non-coding RNA is filed under the name soil metagenome. RNAcentral's name for it is "partial contains 5.8S ribosomal RNA, internal transcribed spacer 2, and large subunit ribosomal RNA". The stretch from base 1 to 120 matches the Rfam family "5.8S ribosomal RNA", at positions 35 to 154 of the family's 154-position model. The record is from RNAcentral.
GAUGAAGAACGUAGCGAAAUGCGAUAAGUAAUGUGAAUUGCAGAAUUCAGUGAAUCAUCGAAUCUUUGAACGCUCAUUGCGCCCGCCAGUAUUCUGGCGGGCAUGCCUGUCCGAGCGUCAUUUCAACCCUCGCGCCCAUCUGGGCUGCGGUGUUGGGGACCGGCCUGCCCCCCCGGGGCGCGCCGCCCCCCAAAUUCAGUGGCGGUCUCGCUGCAGCCUCCCUUGCGUAGUAGCACACCUCGCACCGGAGCGCAGCGCGGCCACGCCGUAAAACCCCCGACCCCCAUGAGUUUGACCUCGGAUCAGGUAGGAAUACCCGCUGAACUUAAGCAUAUCAAUAAGCGGAGGA